AGACAGCAGCAGCCGCGGUAAAACGGAGGGUGCAAGCGUUAUCCGGAUUUAUUGGGUUUAAAGGGUCCGUAGGCGGACUUAUAAGUCAGUGGUGAAAGCCUGUCGCUUAACGAUAGAACUGCCAUUGAUACUGUAAGUCUUGAGUAUAUUUGAGGUAGCUGGAAUAAGUAGUGUAGCGGUGAAAUGCAUAGAUAUUACUUAGAACACCAAUUGCGAAGGCAGGUUACCAAGAUAUAACUGACGCUGAGGGACGAAAGCGUGGGUAGCGAACAGGAUUAGAUACCCCUGUAGUCCCUGUCUCUUAUAC
Molecule: ribosomal RNA, 307 nt
Filed under: uncultured bacterium
Lineage: Bacteria
Description: partial 16S ribosomal RNA
Rfam family: Bacterial small subunit ribosomal RNA
Source: RNAcentral